RNAcentral lists this ribosomal RNA (490 nucleotides) under uncultured bacterium. Its description in RNAcentral is "partial 16S ribosomal RNA". It matches the Rfam family "Bacterial small subunit ribosomal RNA", at positions 28 to 507 of the family's 1533-position model. The record is from RNAcentral.
GAUGAACGCUAGCUACAGGCUUAACACAUGCAAGUCGAGGGGCAGCAUGGUCUUAGCUUGCUAAGGCCGAUGGCGACCGGCGCACGGGUGAGUAACACGUAUCCAACCUGCCGUCUACUCUUGGACAGCCUUCUGAAAGGAAGAUUAAUACAAGAUGGCAUCAUGAGUCCGCAUGUUCACAUGAUUAAAGGUAUUCCGGUAGACGAUGGGGAUGCGUUCCAUUAGAUAGUAGGCGGGGUAACGGCCCACCUAGUCUUCGAUGGAUAGGGGUUCUGAGAGGAAGGUCCCCCACAUUGGAACUGAGACACGGUCCAAACUCCUACGGGAGGCAGCAGUGAGGAAUAUUGGGCAAGGGGCGCAGGCCUGAACCAGCCAAGUAGCGUGAAGGAUGACUGCCCUAUGGGUUGUAAACUUCUUUUAUAAAGGAAUAAAGUCGGGUAGGGAUACCCGUUUGCAUGUACUUUAUGAAUAAGGAUCGGCUAACUCCGUG